This 440-nucleotide long non-coding RNA is filed under the name Linum usitatissimum (flax). Its description in RNAcentral is "long non-coding RNA (LUSI_LNC006537)". Lineage: Eukaryota; Viridiplantae; Streptophyta; Magnoliopsida; Malpighiales; Linaceae. The record is from RNAcentral.
GAACUAAUAGGUACUAGAGCUGCUUUCAAUUUCGUUUCUUGCAAAUUUUUUUUUAUCAACGUCGCCAUCGAUUGCAACAAAAUUCAGAUAUAUAUAUAACUUUCAUAUUUUCUAUAUACAAGGGAGAAUUAAAAAAAAAAGAAAAUUAAACUUAAAAUCCAGAUCUGAGUCCUCCGUCGCCGGUUAAAAAAAAAACAAUUCGGAGACCAGUUCAAAUUAUGGAGGAAAAAAAUAGAGGCUCGAAAAAUUAAGACUCAAACCGCCAUAGACAUGACACUGCAACCGCCAUAGACAUGACACUGAGUCGGCUGGGACGAGGUUGGAACGCCGUUCUCCGCCUCUGCUGAUGUGAUGAAGGACGGAUCAAGGCCGCAAGCGCUCGCUUCACCAAAUCGCCUCCUUCCACGCCGGCUAUCCUCACUAGCGAGUUCGUCAUCGCA